AGUGAACGCUGGCGGUAGGCCUAACACAUGCAAGUCGAACGGCAGCACAGUAAGAGCUUGCUCUUACGGGUGGCGAGUGGCGGACGGGUGAGGAAUACAUCGGAAUCUACUUUUUCGGGGGGGAUAACGUAGGGAAACUUACGCUAAUACCGCAUACGACCUACGGGUGAAAGCAGGGGAUCUUCGGACCUUGCGCGAUUGAAUGAGCCGAUGUCGGAUUAGCUAGUUGGCGGGGUAAAGGCCCACCAAGGCGACGAUCCGUAGCUGGUCUGAGAGGAUGAUCAGCCACACUGGAACUGAGACACGGUCCAGGCUCCUACGGGAGGCAGCAGUGGGGAAUAUUGGACAAUGGGCGCAAGCCUGAUCCAGCCAUACCGCGUGGGUGAAGAAGGCCUUCGGGUUGUAAAGCCCUUUUGUUGGGAAAGAAAAGCAGCAGGUUAAUACCCCGCUGUUCUGACGGUACCCAAAGAAUAAGCACCGGCUAACUUCGUG
RNAcentral lists this ribosomal RNA (492 nucleotides) under uncultured bacterium. Its description in RNAcentral is "partial 16S ribosomal RNA". It matches the Rfam family "Bacterial small subunit ribosomal RNA", at positions 29 to 507 of the family's 1533-position model. The record is from RNAcentral.